CCUACGGGGGACAGCAGUGAGGAAUAUUGGUCAAUGGGCGAGAGCCUGAACCAGCCAAGUCGCGUGAGGGAGUACUGCCCUAUGGGUUGUAAACCUCUUUUGUCGGGGAGCAAAAGCCGGACGUGUCCGGCUGUGAGAGUACCCGAAGAAAAAGCAUCGGCUAACUCCGUGCCAGCAGCCGCGGUAAUACGGAGGAUGCGAGCGUUAUCCGGAUUUAUUGGGGUUAAAGGGUGCGCAGGCGGAUUUUUAAGUCAGCGGUCAAAUCGUGGGGCUCAACCCCAUCCAGCCGUUGAAACUGGGGAUCUAGAGUGUGCGAGAGGUAUGCGGAAUGCGUGGGGUAGCGGUGAAAUGCAGAGAUAUCACGCAGAACCCCGAUUGCGAAGGCAGCAUACCGGUGCACAACUGACGCUCAGGCACGAAAGCGUGGGUAUCGAACAGGAUUAGAUACCCCAGUAGUC
This 458-nucleotide ribosomal RNA is filed under the name uncultured bacterium. RNAcentral's name for it is "partial 16S ribosomal RNA". It matches the Rfam family "Bacterial small subunit ribosomal RNA", at positions 338 to 795 of the family's 1533-position model. The record is from RNAcentral.